AAUGUUAAUGCUUCUUUAUUUUCUCUCUUCAUCUUCAUGCUGAUGUUUCUUUUCCUACUCUGCAGCUUUGGCUUUUCUGUUCCUACUAUAUUUGUACUUAAAGAUAUUUUAUCCUCAUAGUUGUUUCAGCCACAAGGUAUUUCAUUUUCUGUCUCUAACCUCCUCAGAUCAGUCUGCAUUUUAAGGACAUCUUUAGAUGGAUUGAUUUACUUUGCAGCAUGCUGUCCACUCAUAGCACACAUGGAUUCUUCCAGCAUCAGAGGAAUGAAUAUUUCCUGCACCCAUAAUAGUCAUCAACAUUUAUACUCAGUCAUGCAGGCGGGCUGGAUUCCUUUCAGCAGGCAUUUUAGAUAAGCUCUGUGACAGUGACAUUUUCCAUACUCAAGACUUCAUUUUUACCUGUGUCAUAACUGCUGUGUCUAAAAAGUGAAAUGUUUAUAUUUGCAUUACUGUUGAAAAGAUAUAUGCACUUCCUGACAAAAAAAAAAUUAUUUGCAGGUUGUACAAGUUCUGCUCACAAUAUAUCCACACAGCUGAAAAGGAAAUUAUAUAUAACAAACAAGCAUAUAUUCCCACACUCUGCCACCAAAUUAUUUGUAAUAGUCAGAUGGCGGUAGUCUCAUGACCAGCACUAUUGCCACUGUUUUUUAUGAGACAGUACAGACUUUAAAUCUACAUUGUAGGUAUAGUGUGGUAAAGGAUGUAGAUGCCCUAGGUGCAGAGAAUUUAGAAGGAUGGAUCAUCCGGUAUCAACAGAGCAGAAGUGAAGUACUGAUCUUUAUAAAUAAAUACUAAUACUGCAUUUGGGCUCAUGGCUGAAGCACUCAAGCAUAUAACUGCAGAAAGUCGCUCGUUGCUUUUGCUACGGUUACAGAGCUGAAAAGUCUUUCAUCUCGCAGUGUUGAUCAACAAGACCUUUUUGUUUUAAACCCCUCAGCAUGUUUCUCAUCUUCCUUGGUAUUGACUGCAAAGACUUUUCUUUUUGGUCUUCAACUUUGAGAGUUGUCAGAGACAGUGCCAGUUCUGAGAACAGUACAGGAUUCCAGUUAACCGAGAUAUGGUUCUAAUGCCAAAGAAUAUGAAAGGGGCGAUUGUCUUUAAAAUCAUUCAUCAAAUGCACAUUGAGAUGGAAUCAACGUAGUCCAGCGAAGUAAAUCAAUGACACGUACAGCUCGCUCGAGGAUCAUACUGAUACUUUGAAGGGAUGGAAAACAUAAUGACAACAUGUUAAAAUCAUUAAGGCUGUCAGGAACAUAUAAUUUCCCCUCAGUUCCCAUGAGACUUUUAUUAAGAGGACUCAUCAGUGAAAAUAAUCAGUAACUUAAUGAGAGGGAGAGGAGAACUGUUUCUGUGAGGAACGAAUCACAAGCAUGGAUUGAACUGAAAACGUAGACUACAAUAGCGUUUUGUAAUCUCAUUCCAUAUACAUCUGGCACUCAUCAGCAGUGGCAUGUCAAACAACAGGCAUGGUAAGGAAAACCUUCACAACAAAAAUAAGGAGGAGAUUUAAAAACACAAAUGGCUUCCUUACUAUCAAUCAUGCUUCAUUAAAAAAUAAAUCCUUAUUUUUGCGGGGCAAAUCAUGAUUGUGCGUUUCAUUCAACCAGAUGAAAAAAACACCAAGAAGUCUAAUAAAUGCAGUAAAUGUUCAAGAACAUAUUAUGCCUAUACAAAUACCAUCUGAAAAUGUAGAAGUAAAAAAAAAAAAUAAAACCAAAAGUGCUUUGAAUUA
Molecule: long non-coding RNA, 1732 nt
Organism: Protopterus annectens (West African lungfish)
Lineage: Eukaryota; Metazoa; Chordata; Ceratodontiformes; Protopteridae
Exons: 3
Source: RefSeq, a predicted model, not a curated record